UACGGGGGGGGCAAGCGUUGUUCGGAAUUACUGGGCGUAAAGGGCUUGUAGGUGGCCAACUAAGUCAGACGUGAAAUCCCUCGGCUUAACCGGGGAACUGCGUCUGAUACUGGAUGGCUUGAGUUCGGGAGAGGGAUGCGGAAUUCCAGGUGUAGCGGUGAAAUGCGUAGAUAUCUGGAGGAACACCGGUGGCGAAGGCGGCAUCCUGGACCGAUACUGACGCUGAGGAGCGAAAGCCAGGGGAGCAAACGGG
This 253-nucleotide ribosomal RNA is filed under the name uncultured bacterium. Its description in RNAcentral is "partial 16S ribosomal RNA". It matches the Rfam family "Bacterial small subunit ribosomal RNA", at positions 524 to 776 of the family's 1533-position model. The record is from RNAcentral.